RNAcentral lists this antisense RNA (509 nucleotides) under Streptomyces sp. CB02056. RNAcentral's name for it is "Saccharopolyspora sRNA 350". It matches the Rfam family "Saccharopolyspora sRNA 350". The record is from Rfam by way of RNAcentral. Lineage: Bacteria; Bacillati; Actinomycetota; Actinomycetes; Kitasatosporales; Streptomycetaceae.
UUCACGGUGUACGGCCAGCUGCCGCCGCCCUCGGUGAUCGCCUCGUCGCCGACGUGGUCGCCGUCGGCGAGCGUGCCGAGCACCGUCACCUCGCCGUACUUGCCGGUGCCGAUCCGGUCCACCUUGCCGUGCGCGAUCAGGAACACCUCCUCGAUCGGCGCCCCCUCCUGCACCAGCACCUCGCCCUGCGCGAAGUCCCGCUGCACGAACCGGCGGGCCAGCUCGGCCAGCACCUCCUCGUCCUCGAAGCCGCGCAGCGCCGGGACCUCCGCCAGCGAGGGGGCGAUCACCGUCACCGCGGCGCCGGUCUUGGCGAAGCUCACCCGGCCGCGCCCGGGCGCGUAGCUCAGCCGCCGGUUGACCCGGUAGGUACCCGCGCUGACCUGCACCCACGGCAGCAUCUUCAGCAGCCAGCGGGAGGUGAUCUCCUGCAUCUGCGGCUUCGACUUGGUCGUCGUCGCCAGGUUCCUCGCCGCGGUCGUGCUGAGGCUGAGCUGGGCCCGUACCUG